Small nuclear RNA from Marmota marmota marmota (Alpine marmot), 107 nucleotides. The record is from Ensembl. NCBI's taxonomy places the organism in Eukaryota, Metazoa, Chordata, Mammalia, Rodentia, Sciuridae.
GUGCUUGCUUUGGCAGCACAUAUACUAAAAUUGGAAUGAUACAGGGUAGAUUAGCAUGGCCUCUGUGCAAGGAUGACACCCAAAUUCAUGAAGCCUUCCAUAUUUAG